GGAAUUUUCCACAAUGGACGAAAGUCUGAUGGAGCAACGCCGCGUGCAGGAUGAAGGCCUUCGGGUUGUAAACUGCUUUUGUGAGUGAAGACUUCCGACGGUAACUCACGAAUAAGGGUCGGCUAACUACGUGCCAGCAGCCGCGGUCAUACGUAGGACCCAAGCGUUAUCCGGAAUUACUGGGCGUAAAGAGUUGCGUAGGUGGCAGAGUAAGUAAGGAGUGAAAGCGUUCGGCUCAACCGAAUAAACA
This 250-nucleotide ribosomal RNA is filed under the name uncultured bacterium. Its description in RNAcentral is "partial 16S ribosomal RNA". It matches the Rfam family "Bacterial small subunit ribosomal RNA", at positions 358 to 623 of the family's 1533-position model. The record is from RNAcentral.